CACAAUCUACAAGAUGAUACAUCAGACAGGUGUUGUCAGUAGAGUGUGAUACACAAUCUACAAGGUGAUACAUCAGGCAGGUGUUGUCAGUAGAGUCUGAUA
Molecule: long non-coding RNA, 102 nt
Filed under: Haliotis rubra (blacklip abalone)
Lineage: Eukaryota; Metazoa; Mollusca; Gastropoda; Lepetellida; Haliotidae
Description: uncharacterized LOC124266018
Source: RNAcentral